UACAUAGGGGGCGAGCGUUGUCCGGAUUUAUUGGGCGUAAAGAGCUCGUAGGCGGUUCGAUAAGUCGGACGUGAAAUCUCCACGCUCAACGUGGAGGGGCCGUUCGAUACUGUCGUGACUCGAGUCCGGUAGGGGAGUGUGGAAUUCCCGGUGUAGCGGUGAAAUGCGCAGAGAUCGGGAGGAACACCCGUAGCGAAGGCGGCACUCUGGGCCGGUACUGACGCUGAGGAGCGAAAGCGUGGGGAGCAAACAGG
Molecule: ribosomal RNA, 254 nt
Filed under: uncultured bacterium
Lineage: Bacteria
Description: partial 16S ribosomal RNA
Rfam family: Bacterial small subunit ribosomal RNA
Source: RNAcentral